UGAAGAAAUUGGGUCCCUCUAUAUGGUUGUCAAGAUGCAACAACUUCUCCAAAACUACGACAUUCGUAACGAAACCCUAAAAGAUGUUGCUUCGUACAUGCUAAAAGCAAUGGUUUUAGAUCUUGAAGGUUUAGGUUGGCUAUUCCAAAGCUUAGUGUACAUGGUAUGGUUUCUGCUGUGAAAGAUAUUUUAGAGCAGGCACCAUUAAAUAAGUUUGUUGAAAGCAUGGCGAAGUCUUAGUUAUAGUCUGAAAACAACUCUCGGUAGCAUGGUUUCUCACUUGGCUCUUUGAAUUAUUGGAUUAGCGCGACAUCGACGAAUCUGCGGACGUGGAAAAUAAUAGCGUUCUCUCCAAGGACAUGGAACCGCGGUGUCGACGAAUCCGUCAUCCAAGAAAUCCCAACGUUCCAGUUCACAAAAGGGGCAGGCAGCGAUGAUUAUCAAAGUGUCAAAGGUUGUGCGGAUUUGUAAGCUAUUUCCAUUGUAAAAGCCAUAACAUUUUUGAAGUUUUAAAUAUGCGUAAAAUGUCGACUCCUCUUUGAGAAAAGACAAAUAUGAUUAAGUAUUAUUUAAGCGGAUCUGACUGUUGCGGUGGAGCUUUUGAGACAAAUCGGUGGCCACUGUGGUGCGAUAACAGAAUCCGUUGUAAGGAGACUUCAUGUAAUAUAGUUCUUG
Long non-coding RNA from Vicia villosa (hairy vetch), 675 nucleotides. RefSeq lists it as uncharacterized. Lineage: Eukaryota; Viridiplantae; Streptophyta; Magnoliopsida; Fabales; Fabaceae. The record is from RefSeq and is a predicted model, not a curated record. The transcript has 3 exons.